Long non-coding RNA from Gastrolobium bilobum, 223 nucleotides. RefSeq lists it as uncharacterized. The transcript is spliced from 3 exons. The record is from RefSeq and is a predicted model, not a curated record. Lineage: Eukaryota; Viridiplantae; Streptophyta; Magnoliopsida; Fabales; Fabaceae.
GGUGUGCCUAGGGAUUGAGAAGGAUCAGAAAUCUCUUGAAGCGAUAAAAGUAACUUGUUCCACAAGUAAGCGUAUUGGUAAAGCUUCAAGAGGUGCCCAGAUUUCCGGUGAGUCCUCACUAGGCAGGGACACGACACGUGGCUGAGGCAGUUGACAGAUUGGAUUUUGAGUGGCUAAUUAUGGUUCGCCCAAGAAGGACUUCUGAUCCUCCUAUUGACCCGAC